Molecule: ribosomal RNA, 368 nt
Filed under: uncultured organism
Description: bacterial SSU rRNA
Rfam family: Bacterial small subunit ribosomal RNA
Source: RNAcentral
CGGAGGAUGCAAGCGUUAUCCGGAUUCAUUGGGUUUAAAGGGUGCGUAGGCGGACUGAUAAGUCAGUGGUGAAAUCUCUCAGCUUAACUGAGAAACUGCCAUUGAUACUGUUAGUCUAGAGUAUAGAUGACGUUGGCGGAAUAUGACAUGUAGUGGUGAAAUACUUAGAUAUGUCAUAGAACACCGAUUGCGAAGGCAGCUAACGAAACUAUAACUGACGCUGAGGCACGAAAGUGCGGGGAUCAAACAGGAUUAGAUACCCUGGUAGUCCGCACCGUAAACGAUGAUUACUCGUUGUUGGCGAUAUGACAGUCAGCGACCAAGCGAAAGCGAUAAGUAAUCCACUGGGGAGUACGCCGGCAACGGUG